Nicotiana tabacum (common tobacco) is the source of this 702-nucleotide non-coding RNA. The record is from RefSeq and is a predicted model, not a curated record. NCBI's taxonomy places the organism in Eukaryota, Viridiplantae, Streptophyta, Magnoliopsida, Solanales, Solanaceae.
UACUUUCUCAUCUCUCCUGAACAUUCGUACAUUUUCUUCUAAUUUCUUCUGCAUCUUUGUGGUCUUCCCUAAAUUUCUCUCAUACCUUUUCUAUUUUGGGUAUUUCUUCAAAGAUUCUCCCUUUUGGCUAAUUUUUUAUCGUUUCGGUUCGAAGUUCUGGCAAGUUUUUUGUCUAAUUAAUCUUUUUUAUUGCACUUGUUUGGUGGUAGAUUUUGCUAGAUUUACAUAUGUCAAUAACUUUAUCUAACCGGAACAUGCAUAUCUUUUAAUAUUUAUUCAUUUCAGAGACUACGAUUCUCUUUCUCCUUCAGUGCUUUCAAGCAUCAAAUUAUUCGCUAGAAGAUUAAGUUUUGACAAUACGAUGUCUUGCAGCAUGGAGAUCAUAACUCUUGGGAAUAAAAGGAUAGGCAUGAAAACAAGUGUCCUAGAGGAAAAGGAGACAACUUGUUAUAUGCUUUGAUUUGCUGCUAUGCUGCAUUGCUAAUGACUUGAAGGAAAGUUUCUACUCAUGAAUCAACCAGACUGAUAUUUAAUUUUUCCGUAUUUCAUAUGUGCUAUUGAGUGAAUCUCUUUUCUGAUGAGGAGUUAAGACAAGUGAUGUUAAUGCUUGAAAAAGGUGGUCCGACAUUAGUUCCACUUCUGAUAUUUUGUUUUUUUAUAACUUUUUCAAUUAUGAUUAUGACAUUGUGUAGUGGUUUAAAA